Long non-coding RNA from Gasterosteus aculeatus aculeatus (three-spined stickleback), 543 nucleotides. The record is from Ensembl. Lineage: Eukaryota; Metazoa; Chordata; Actinopteri; Perciformes; Gasterosteidae.
GCAAAAACACAUUUCAAUGACCACAGACAAAAUGAGUUCAUCCUCAUGUGUCUAGACAUGUAAGAACUGUUGGUAUAUUGUAUGUGCAUACAACCUCCUGAUGAACAGUACCAGAUCUGCAGGCAGCCCUCACUGCUCUCAUAUAUGGAAAACAAAAUACUUGGCGCUGGUCCACAGACAACACUGAGGCCCAUUAUCUUCUGCAGGCUCGCUAAGGCAGCUUUAAACGGGACGUUCAUGCAGGCCUCUCAGGCUGACCGGCUAUUACGGCAGAGAACUCAAAUAUACCACUUUUUUGAAACGAAAAACCUUUCCUUGAAGCUUUCAGUGUGGAUAAAGGGAUUAAUCAAUGAAGUUAAAGAUAAGGGCUGCAGUGGAGCAUCUUGUGCCCUGAAACACUGUGUACCACUCAUCUCUUCCUCACUGCCCUACAGCCAGCAUGUCCAACGAGUUCCUUUUCCAGUGUUGCACGGUAUACAGAUGUACCCUGCUGUUAAACGGUACGAUAGCCAUUUUAUUAGUACAGAUAAUGAUUUUAAUAGC